This is a long non-coding RNA of Rhodamnia argentea, 312 nucleotides long. RefSeq lists it as uncharacterized. NCBI's taxonomy places the organism in Eukaryota, Viridiplantae, Streptophyta, Magnoliopsida, Myrtales, Myrtaceae. The transcript has 3 exons. The record is from RefSeq and is a predicted model, not a curated record.
CUCCAGUCCCUCUUCGGCGUAUUAGGUCCAACAAGUUAAAAAAAAAAAAGAAUCAAGCAAUGAUUAGGAACUCAUUCAGAGCUUCUGUGCAGAUUGAGUUGAACUCGCAUUGAUCAAAUUUGACAGACAUAGGUCCUCCUAGAGGCCCCCGGAACCGGGAAUGUCUAUCCAUUCGAAGCUUUUUCUGUACGUCGAGUUGAACUCGCAAUGAUCAAAUUUGACAGAGCUAGUCCUACUGCAGGCCCCUGGAACCGGGAAUGUCUAUCCAUUCAAGCUGGAGCUCGACCUCACCGCGCUCCACGCCACGGAGCC